This 4138-nucleotide long non-coding RNA is filed under the name Homo sapiens (human). Its description in RNAcentral is "non-protein coding lnc-SLC38A8-5:3". Lineage: Eukaryota; Metazoa; Chordata; Mammalia; Primates; Hominidae. The record is from RNAcentral.
AACAACAGGAGAGGCAAGCAGAGCACAGUAGGAACUGAAUGGGGUUUGCGUGAAAGAAAAAUCCAGGGAAAGGUGUCCUGCAGAACGUGCACGGUUGCCUCCCUUGAACACACCUGAAUUUGCCAACAUCCCUCUUAAAAAGAGGCACCAAGAGGAAUGCAGAAGGCCAGCAUGCAAUGCUAUAGCCCAAGUUCCAUGCCAGCACUUGAACUUUGAGAUGCUCUUAGCUUUUCUAGCAGUCAUAAGGCACUUUUGCCCAAGACCAAGCUUGCAGUCAGGGAAAGCCUCCAGGUUUUUCGAAAUGGCCUUGAACAGGUUUUAAGCCAGCUCUCUUGCUUUUAAUCAGAGGUCAUUUGGCCAAGUUGCAGCCUGUUGUUCCAGCCCAGGAUUUCUCCACCUAAGCAGAUACUUCUAAUUGGGGAGAGUGGAGAAGCGGCAACUUCAAUUGUCCCCCCUGACAUCUGGGGUUGGAUAAUUCUUGUUGCAGAGAGGCUGUCCAGUGCAUUGUGAGAACUUUACCAGCAACCCGGGCCUCUGCCCCCUAGAUGCCAGUGGCAUUCCCCUCGCACCCCCUGAAAUGUUCUAGACACUGACAAAUGUCAUCUGGGGGCAAGAUCACCACCUUUCUAGUAUAAUUCAAUCAUCUAAAAAUAGGCCAUUUUUUGGACUAUUUGGAGAAAUCCAAGACUCUGAAGGAAUGAAUAAUGUUUCUUAAAUAUCUCUGUUCUUUCUACAAAUCCAAUGACUAGAGAGAGGUGGAAAUAAUGAACUGAGAAAGACAUAAGGUCAGGAACUGAGAACUACACAUCAAAUAGAUUUUCCAUAUGUCUGAUGUUCUAAAAUGCAGAGUGAAUACUCAGACCCUAUUACACAGGAUGACAAAGUCUAUGAAUAAAAUGUUUACUUCCUGAUGGCAAAAAUAAAAUUAUUCAUUUCAUUCUCCUACCAUCAUGCAUGACUAGCUCUGGACAAAUAUAAAUGGGUCUGAUGAAGAAUGUAUUUUAAGAGGCUCACUGUGGAUGGCAAUGGAAUACUGGCUUUCUAUGCAAUUAAAUACAUGUUUACAGGGUGUUUGCUAUGUAUAAAGCCCAUGUGGGCAACAUGGUGGAUGCAAGGAUGAUUAUGAUGCAAUUCCUGUGCAGAGGCCGUGUUUCUCAAAUGGUGCACACACGGCACCCCUAGAGUGGAAAACUUGGGGUGUGCAUGGAUGAAUGCUGAAUGGACCGUACUGAUUAUAGAGGGAGUCCGCUGGGGGAACCCUCAUAGAUUGGAAGAGAAAGUAGAUGAAGGUUAAUAUCUCAGGUUCCUGUGUCUGCUAUGCAAAAGACCACAGACCUAGUGGAUUAAAACAACUCAGAUUUAUUCUUAUAGUCCCACAAGUCAGAGUCUAAAAUUAAGAUGUUGGCAGGGCUGUGUUCCUUUUAGAAUCUUCAGGGCAGAAUUUGUUUCUUUGCUCUUUCCAGAAUCUAGAGAUGCCUGCAUUCCUUGACCUCUGGAUUCUUCCUUAUGUGGCUCCAAUGACUUGCUUUUGUGAUUGCAUCUCCUUCUCUGACUCUGACCCUCCUGCCUCCAUUUUAAUUUUUUAAUUUAAUUUUUAUUUUUUAAUUUAAUUUUUUGAGACAGGGUCUCGCUCUGUUGCCCAGACUAGAGGGCAGUGGCAUGAUCUUGGCUCAUCACAACCUCCGCCUCCUGAGUUCAAACCAUUUUCCUGCCUCAGCCUCCUGAGUAGCAGAAACUACAGGUGUAUGCCACCACACUCAGCUAAUUUUUGUAUUUUUAGUAGAGAUAGGUUUCACCACAUUGGCCAGUCUGGUCUUGAACUCCUGGCCUCAAGUGAUCCACCAACCUCAGCCUCCCAAAGUGCUGGAAUUACAGGCAUGAGCCACCGCGCUUGGCCCUGCCUCCUUCUUAUAAGGACUUUUAUGGUGAAAAUGGGUGUAUCCUGAUGAUCUAAGGUCGUCUAAAGACCUUUCAUCUAAUCAUAGCUGCAGAGUCCUUUUUACUGUAUAAGGUAAGGACUAGGAUGUGGACAGCUUUGGGGAGUGGAGGCGGUGUGGGCGUUACUUAGCCUAGCAUGGUUAGCAGGAAGAGAGGCCACAAAGGCUAUGAAUUCAGAGAAGAGGACACUCAUGAUAGAGAACCUAGACAGAAAAAGACAGAAAGAGAACAAAGCAUGCUGAGGGGUGAGUAAGCCAAGGGCGUUGGGGAAUUUCAGUUAAGAAAGUGAAAGGACUGGCUUAACCCCACUUCCAGAAACCUGAACCACCAUGCUACCUCCUCUGGCUAAUGCCAUUAUAAUGAGGUUGAACCCAAGCAAAUGAAAAACACAUUUGAAGAACAUGUGGAAGCACACGUCUGGUUGACUGUCCCUUACGGUGAGGUCCUGGGAAGUAUUUGAGAGGAGCUUGUGCUGCAAGGCAUGUGGCCAUGAGCAAAAGGACGCUUUUGUCGUCUGCAGGGAUGUGUUGGUUCUCCCGGUGGCUUUGGGUGGAUCCUCUAUGGGUGGUGAGUCUUGCACUUGAUAAGGCACUCUGGCUUGCCUGUUCUUCCCAUCAGCACUGCUGGCUGGAAGAGCCUUGGCUGGGAAACAUGGAGCUCAUGCCUUCUGGUGCCCUGGGCAAGUUGCUUGGGAAUAAUGGUCAUGGUGGCAGCUGCUGCUUAAGCUGCUCCCCAUUCCCCUUGCCAACUCACAGGAGGAUGAGUCCAAAGAGAAGGUGUCAUUAGGGUAGAAGGAAAAUAAAGUAUUCUUGCCUUCUCCUCAAAAUUCAACUUUCCCAGCUCUUUUUUUUUUUUUUUUUUUUUUGCCUUUAGGGUCUCUCACCAAAGAUGAGUCCCACUCAGUUCACUUUAACUUCAUUAUUUCAUCUCACUCUUUCUCCUUCCCUCUUUCUCGCUUUCUAUUUGUUCACUCAAUGACUUUUUAUUGAACGGCCACCAGAUCAAUAGCACAGUGCGGCAUGUCAGGGAUAUGAUACACGGGGAAUCUAAGAGCUGAUCUCUGUCUUAUAGGAACUCAGCCAGAAUAGGGAAGAGUAGUAGAACAGGGGAUCAGCAAUUAUUUUAAACAUUUCAAUAAUAUUUGUUUUAAAGUGAAUGGUAAAAAUAUAGCUGGCAUAUCACAGAUAUUAUUGCUAAGUUAAAAGAAAGACAAGUCAAAUUAAAGUCAACUUAAAAGCAUUCAGUGAAUGACAGUACACAGAGAGCAGAUAGGUUACAGGAGAUGAAGGUGCCUGGUGUUUGGAAAUGUUUGGAUAAAGCAAAAUGGAAAUGGCUAAGACAAAGAAGGAGGUAAUAAUGGCCUAAGAAAGUUAUAAAAUAGAAUGGAGGAAUUCAAGGAGAAAGAGAUUACUUCCUACUCACCGAAAGUGUUACGGACCAUGCAGUAUUUGAAACUGACCUAGAAAGACCAACAGGAUUGUGAUGGGUGGAGGCAGGAAGGGAAAUAUUUUAGGAAGAGUGACUGACAGUCAAGUUCUGGAGCGUGAACAUGCAUGGCAUAUUGGGAAGCGGGAACAGUACACCCAUAUUCUGCUUUCCAUCUUGUAUCCUUCUUAGUCCUGCAAAUGUCCAGAGUAGAUGUGCUGUUUAUCCAUUUCUCCUUCUUUGUGGGGACACCUGCAUUUUCCCAUGAGUUUACCCCAUUCUUCAUGUAGCCUUGCUGAGACUUUCCAUUAUGGUGCCUCUCUCUCCUAUAGUGAAGGGAUGAAGUGAGUCCGACUCAAGACAGGCCACCCAGGACUUAAUAUGCUGGGAGCGUACAAUGUUUUCAGAGAGACAUAAGGAUGGAAAAUACUUGGAGCUGAUUUGUCCUGAUCGUGAGAGCCUAAAAAUAUCAUCCAUUCAUCCCAGGAACCUAGAUCGCUGAAGCAGCUUUUUCCGGCAUUCCUGAAGCUUGCUUCAUCCUAUUUUUCUUUGCUUCUCUAUGUCUUGUGUGUGUGUGCACACACAUGCCUGCAUAUGUGUUUUCUUCUCUUCAUAAGGUUUGGUUUCCAUGGCUUGCAACCAAAGAAAUGAUUGUAUAGCCUGACAUAAUCAGUCAGCAAUCACAGUCAUUUUACAAAUAACACAGCAGUAAAGGGUUCACUGAUUUCCCCAUGCCACAGAGCUAAUGAGCAAUGAAGCUGGAAUCUGAACUCAG